Paramuricea clavata is the source of this 205-nucleotide non-coding RNA. NCBI's taxonomy places the organism in Eukaryota, Metazoa, Cnidaria, Anthozoa, Malacalcyonacea, Plexauridae. The record is from the annotation of a GenBank genome assembly.
AAUCAGCGGCGGCGGAACAGAUUUCGUUCUGGGGGGGCUAAAUUUUUUCGGCGACCCCCCCCCCGUCGCCAAAAAAAUUUCGGUCAGUGUACCACUUUAGGGGUACAAUAUACAAAAAAAGGGACGAAAAAAUUUUUUUCGGACUUAUAUCAAAAUUUUUUUUCGGAAAUACACUUUUUUUAAACAAAAUAUUGCAAAUUUGUCC